AUUGAACGCUGGCGGAAUGCUUUACACAUGCAAGUCGAACGGCAGCACGGGAGCUUGCUCCUGGUGGCGAGUGGCGAACGGGUGAGUAAUAUAUCGGAACGUAUCCAAUAAUGGGGGAUAACUAAUCGAAAGGUUGGCUAAUACCGCAUACGCCCUGAGGGGGAAAGCUGGGGAUCUUCGGACCAAGCGUUGACGGAGCGGCCGAUAUCUGAUUAGCUAGUUGGUGAGGUAAAGGCUCACCAAGGCGACGAUCAGUAGCUGGUCUGAGAGGACGACCAGCCACACUGGAACUGAGACACGGUCCAGACUCCUACGGGAGGCAGCAGUGGGGAAUUUUGGACAAUGGGCGCGAGCCUGAUCCAGCCAUUCCGCGUGAGUGAAGAAGGCCUUCGGGUUGUAAAGCUCUUUCGCAAGGGAAGAAACGAUUUAGGUAAAUAAUCUAAGUUAAUGACGGUACCUUGAUAAGAAGCACCGGCUAACUACGUGCCAGCAGCCGCGG
RNAcentral lists this ribosomal RNA (499 nucleotides) under uncultured bacterium. RNAcentral describes it as "bacterial SSU rRNA". It matches the Rfam family "Bacterial small subunit ribosomal RNA", at positions 30 to 520 of the family's 1533-position model. The record is from RNAcentral.